This 112-nucleotide ribosomal RNA is filed under the name Syntrophomonadaceae bacterium. Lineage: Bacteria; Bacillati; Bacillota; Clostridia; Eubacteriales; Syntrophomonadaceae. The record is from RNAcentral.
UCUGGUGGCUAUAGCGAAGGGGUCACACCCGUUCCCAUCCCGAACACGGAAGUUAAGCCCUUCAGCGCCGAUGGUACUGGGUCUUGCCCGGAAGAGUAGGUCGCUGCCAGAG